RNAcentral lists this unclassified non-coding RNA (463 nucleotides) under Bombus terrestris (buff-tailed bumblebee). RNAcentral's name for it is "misc RNA ENSBTSG00005030166.1". Lineage: Eukaryota; Metazoa; Arthropoda; Insecta; Hymenoptera; Apidae. The record is from RNAcentral.
GUCGUGAGGUGUCUUGGGACCUCGAUUCGACGAAGAAAGAAAGUCGCUUCGAGAAACGCCAAGAAUAUUGGAAAAAGAAUCAUUGGGGAUACACGAUAAACGUGUACAAAUAACGUUUCCUUAUCUUCACCUUGCAACAGUAUAAAAGUGUAUAUAAUCUACUCGAGCAACGUGGCCUGCCUUCACAAUUUUUCAAAACGAAGCGUGAAUGCAGCUCGAAAAACCCGUGGUCCAUAUGGAGAGCGACCCAAGGGGCCCUCCAAAAUCGGUAUUCAGGGCUCUAUCUGAACAGGCCCAAUCGGCAGCAUGGCCAUCCAACUAAAAUGAGAAACCAACGGGAAAAAAAAAGCAAUAGAACCGGACGACUCGCACGAAAACAAGACUAAAAGAAGCGACUGUCGAUUAUUCGAUGUCUAAACAAACUAGGGUCGGUCCAGCCACCCCAUGCUAUGUUCGUUUAACA